CGUGGAGCGAUUUGUCUGGUUUAUUCCGAUAACGAGCGAGACUCUAGCCUACUAAAUAGUUGGCUCAUUGCUGCUGUGGGCACAACUUCUUAGAGGGAUUUUCGGUGUUCAGCCGCACGAAAUUGAGCAAUAACAGGUCUGUGAUGCCCUUAGAUGUCCGGGGCUGCACGCGCGCUACACUGGCAAAAUCAGCGUGCUUGUCCUUCCCCGAAAGGGGUUGGUAAACCGGUGAAAAUUUGCCGUGAUUGGGAUCGGACAUUGCAAUUAUUGUCCGUGAACGAGGAAUUCCUUGUAGGGGCGAGUCAUCAACUCGCUCUGAAUACGUCCCUGCCCUUUGUAC
This 340-nucleotide ribosomal RNA is filed under the name Nematoda environmental sample. Its description in RNAcentral is "SSU rRNA". It matches the Rfam family "Eukaryotic small subunit ribosomal RNA", at positions 1300 to 1665 of the family's 1831-position model. The record is from RNAcentral. Lineage: Eukaryota; Metazoa; Nematoda.